RNAcentral lists this ribosomal RNA (253 nucleotides) under uncultured bacterium. RNAcentral describes it as "partial 16S ribosomal RNA". It matches the Rfam family "Bacterial small subunit ribosomal RNA", at positions 524 to 776 of the family's 1533-position model. The record is from RNAcentral.
UACGAAGGGUGGUAGCGUUGCUCGGAAUCACUGGGCGUAAAGCGCACGCAGGCGGACUCUUAAGUCGGUGGUGAAAUCCUGGAGCUCAACUCCAGAACUGCCUUCGAUACUGAGAGUCUCGAGUCCGGGAGAGGUGAGUGGAACUGCGAGUGUAGAGGUGAAAUUCGUAGAUAUUCGCAAGAACACCAGUGGCGAAGGCGGCUCCCUGGCCCGGUACUGACGCUGAGGUGCGAAAGCGUGGGGAGCAAACAGG